AGCUGGCAACUUUCACCUUUACUACUUUAAUUUCUUCAAAGAAAAGUUCAUAAGUUCAUCUCCUCAGUAUCUUCAAAUCUUCAUCGCCACCCCUCAGUCUCAAAUUUUUUGAUCUCCUCUUCUUCAACCAAAGCAAUUUUAUGAAGAAUUGGCUUGAGGAUGACAAACACAAAAAUUGGGUUUGCAGAAAUUGAAGAUCGAAGAUGAAUAUGAACAUAGUGAGAAGCAUCGAUCCAUUCGUGGUGUUGGAGAAACUGGGUUUGCAGAAACUGGGUUCUUUUUUCUAGAAAGAAAUUCACCUUUUUAGAUCUAAAGUUGUGUUGUUUGAUUUUGAUCAAAAUUGUUUUUGGGUUUGUUUGAAGGAGAUGUUUAUGGGUUUGAUUUUGAUUCUAUCAAAUUGUGUUUGAAAUAUUUAUGAUGUUAUUGUUGAAUGGUGUAAGAGGCUUUGUUUUGAGAAAUCAGUGAAAGAGGAACAUGAAUAGGAAUCAAACGAGAACAAGGGGAAAGAGGCUUUGUUUUAUAGAUUAUUCAUGGUGUGUUUUU
RNAcentral lists this long non-coding RNA (543 nucleotides) under Trifolium pratense (red clover). RNAcentral's name for it is "long non-coding RNA (TPRA_LNC001888)". Lineage: Eukaryota; Viridiplantae; Streptophyta; Magnoliopsida; Fabales; Fabaceae. The record is from RNAcentral.